UCAGAUUGAACGCUAGCGGGAUGCUUUACACAUGCAAGUCGAACGGCAGCGCGGACUUCGGUCUGGCGGCGAGUGGCGAACGGGUGAGUAAUGUAUCGGAACGUACCCAGUAGCGGGGGAUAACUACGCGAAAGCGUGGCUAAUACCGCAUACGCCCUUUGGGGGAAAGCGGGGGACCUUCGGGCCUCGCACUAUUGGAGCGGCCGAUAUCGGAUUAGCUAGUUGGUGAGGUAAAGGCUCACCAAGGCGACGAUCCGUAGCUGGUUUGAGAGGACGACCAGCCACACUGGGACUGAGACACGGCCCAGACUCCUACGGGAGGCAGCAGUGGGGAAUUUUGGACAAUGGGGGCAACCCUGAUCCAGCCAUCCCGCGUGUGCGAUGAAGGCCUUCGGGUUGUAAAGCACUUUUGGCAGGGAAGAAAAGGUGCCGGCGAAUACCCGGCGCCGCUGACGGUACCUGCAGAAUAAGCACCGGCUAACUACGUGCCAGCAGCCGCGGUAAUACGUAGGGUGCAAGCGUUAAUCGGAAUUACUGGGCGUAAAGCGUGCGCAGGCGGCUCGGAAAGAAAGAUGUGAAAUCCCAGGGCUUAACCUUGGAAUGGCAUUUUUAACUCCCGAGCUAGAGUAUGUCAGAGGGGGGUAGAAUUCCACGUGUAGCAGUGAAAUGCGUAGAGAUGUGGAGGAAUACCGAUGGCGAAGGCAGCCCCCUGGGAUAAUA
This 720-nucleotide ribosomal RNA is filed under the name Caenimicrobium sp. RNAcentral describes it as "bacterial SSU rRNA". It matches the Rfam family "Bacterial small subunit ribosomal RNA", at positions 24 to 739 of the family's 1533-position model. The record is from RNAcentral. Lineage: Bacteria; Pseudomonadati; Pseudomonadota; Betaproteobacteria; Burkholderiales; Alcaligenaceae.